Molecule: ribosomal RNA, 537 nt
Filed under: uncultured bacterium
Lineage: Bacteria
Description: partial 16S ribosomal RNA
Rfam family: Bacterial small subunit ribosomal RNA
Source: RNAcentral
UGGGGAAUUUUGGACAAUGGGCGAAAGCCUGAUCCAGCAAUGCCGCGUGUGUGAAGAAGGCCUUCGGGUUGUAAAGCACUUUUGUCCGGAAAGAAAUCCUUGGCUCUAAUACAGUCGGGGGAUGACGGUACCGGAAGAAUAAGCACCGGCUAACUACGUGCCAGCAGCCGCGGUAAUACGUAGGGUGCAAGCGUUAAUCGGAAUUACUGGGCGUAAAGCGUGCGCAGGCGGUUUGCUAAGACCGAUGUGAAAUCCCCGGGCUCAACCUGGGAACUGCAUUGGUGACUGGCAGGCUAGAGUAUGGCAGAGGGGGGUAGAAUUCCACGUGUAGCAGUGAAAUGCGUAGAGAUGUGGAGGAAUACCGAUGGCGAAGGCAGCCCCCUGGGCCAAUACUGACGCUCAUGCACGAAAGCGUGGGGAGCAAACAGGAUUAGAUACCCUGGUAGUCCACGCCCUAAACGAUGUCAACUGUUGUUGGGGAUUCAUUCUUAGUAACGUAGCUAACGCGUGAAGUUGACCGCCUGGGGAGUACGGUCG